Molecule: long non-coding RNA, 777 nt
Filed under: Malus domestica (apple)
Lineage: Eukaryota; Viridiplantae; Streptophyta; Magnoliopsida; Rosales; Rosaceae
Description: long non-coding RNA (MDOM_LNC009032)
Source: RNAcentral
UUUUUACCUUGCAUGUACGAAUUAACAAAAGAAAAUUAAUGAUAGAUGUUGAAUUAUCUGCACAUAUGAUCAAUAUUGGGGAGUUAGCUACUAUGUAGCAGUCUCACGUAAAAUAGAAUAUAUAAUGAAUGGUUCUACUUAGGGCUAGUUUUGUAUUGUUGUGCUUUAAAAAAAAAAGCAUGUGUUGAGUAGUGAGAAUAAACAGCUUUGAAAUAAAGCAGUAAAAUAAUUGGUAAACUAUAGUUGUAAAAGUUGUUAUAAUGUUUGAUAAACUUUUAUAUAAAAUAGCACUGGCUAUGUAAAAUGACAAAAAAGGCAUAAUACAUAUGUGUAUUAAUUUCAUCAUUUGGAAAAUAAAGGUUAAUUAUUAAAAUAUAUAUCUACACUAAAAGGGAGGGGAUCGGUUUAGCCUCACAAUGGGCUAACAAUAAUGUAAUUCAAAUUGGCUUUUGGAGAGAAUCGGACCUAAGACACCUAAGACCUCUCACUUACAAGUGAAGAGGAAUACCAUUAGACCGUAGUACUAAAUUAUAAUUAUUAAAAAAUAUUUAUAUCUUAGUUUAAACCUCUCACACUCUCAAAUCCCCAAAUUUAAAAACCCAACAAGAAAAUCAAACAAAACAAAAAAUGAAAUUUGGUUGAAAUUUUCAUACAAGAGAAGCUUACCAGAUGAAGGACGUGAGCUAGGGUAGCGUUUGGUACGCAGACGGGACGGGACGGGACGGGACGGGACGGGACGGAACGGGACGGAACAUAUGUUCUGUGUUAUGUUUGGUA